RNAcentral lists this antisense RNA (156 nucleotides) under Helicobacter pylori P12. RNAcentral's name for it is "Bacterial antisense RNA HPnc0260". It matches the Rfam family "Bacterial antisense RNA HPnc0260". Lineage: Bacteria; Pseudomonadati; Campylobacterota; Epsilonproteobacteria; Campylobacterales; Helicobacteraceae. The record is from Rfam by way of RNAcentral.
AGUGUUAUAGUUUUGAAGUGCUAUAAAAGCGUUAUUGAAAGCGCGUUUAAUACCCCUUUAGAAUUUAUAAAGAUCAAAAACUCGCAAAAAAAAUGAGAAUUAAAAUUGGAGUGAUAAUGGUGGCCACGACUGGACUUGAACCAGCGGCCACUACCA